This 295-nucleotide long non-coding RNA is filed under the name Suricata suricatta (meerkat). RNAcentral's name for it is "lncRNA (ENSSSUG00005002012.1)". Lineage: Eukaryota; Metazoa; Chordata; Mammalia; Carnivora; Herpestidae. The record is from RNAcentral.
UCCUGCCCUCGGAGGAGAAAUUAGGAGGAGCUGGGUGCGCUCCUUUGGUAUCCCAAAUAUUUGACACCUCAUUGGCCUAAAUGCCAUUCGAUACAUUGGUGUAGGCAUUUUCCUCAUUUUAAAGAGUAAAUCUUUCUGCCGCCAAGAACUACCUGCCGGGAAGAAGGCGGUCUUCGAGGUCUUUCACAAUCAACAUCAACCCAGACCUGGAAGUAUUUCUGUUUUCAUAUUUCUGCGAGAUAAUAACAUGCCCGGUGUAAAGGAGGGACGGCUGUUCUCGCUGACGGGCCCUGCA